GCUUAGGUGCCAGGUCUGUGGCGACCGGGCGUGUGCAGGUGUGUGCGUGAGUGCAUGUUCGUUAGAGAUAGUCACGGGAUAGAUGUAGACGCUGGCGAUCCAUGCGGAUUCCAGCCGCGCCCGGUGCGUAGGAGCGCGUCGUGGGCGCAUGCGGAUCGUGGGGCGUGUACGUGCGCAUCGUGGGUGCGUGAGCAGCGCGUAUAAAACUCUCCCCGCUGUGUACUCUUUGUAAUGUGCUAGUGUGUUGAGUUGGAGCCAGCCAUGUAGACAUUGUAAAGGAGAAGAAAGAUUAGGGUGUGUGUGCGCCGACGGCAGCGUUCGUGCGCCGGCCCGUGAAAAUUUCUUGUGUCUUGUGUCUUCUUCUACCUCCGUCCAACCGUGAGAGGGAGAGGUAGCUAGGGUUGCCCUGUGUUGCAACAACAUUUGGUACCAUGAGCAUGGUGUCUUGGGCGUGCUUGCCGUGCCGGAGGCGUAGCAGCGAUGGCGGCGCUCGCCGGCGGCUACGCGAUGGAGCUCCGGACCGUGUGUCGGCCUCUGGAGGAGGGCGGCGCUGCAACUGUCAUGGCGCGUGGCGGAGGCGGCGGGCGGUGACGUCGUACGUGUGGCGACCGCGAAGGCCGCCGAGGGGCUGCGUGGUGGCUGCGGCGGCACGGUGAGGAGGCCGCGGAGGACCUGCAUGGUGGCGGCUUCAACGACGACAACGGCGCGACGAGCGCGUCACGGCGGCUCGGCGCGACAACGAUGGAGGCGCGUGGCACAGAGCCGCGGCGCUUGUGUCGGAUGCGCCAGGCGCGUGUAUGGGCAUGCGCCGGGCGUGUCAGGCGUGGCGGGGCCGUGGUGUAGGGUAGUCGUUGGCGAGUGGGGGUGUGCGCGUUGAGCUGGUCCAUCGCGGGCUCGCCGCGCCCAGACGUGUGCGUGCAUGUCGGAGGGGGCGCGGGCGGGACGGGCGCUCGACGUGGACUGGGACGUGGGUGCGUGCCCGGCGCAUCCCUAGGUAUAAACCCCCCGUGUACGUUGUAAUGGCAGUGCCCGGAGUUGAGUUCGAGCUCGAGGGAAUCAAGGCCGUCAGUGCGCCAGGUCGAGUCCGCGGCCGUGACGACGACAACGACGGAAGCUACACCAACUCCAGCAACGUCAGAUCAUGGCUUAGGGCGUGAAUGAUGGAAAUAAGCCAUGCUCAGGUUUGUGGUGACCGGCGAGUGUGCGCGUCCAAGCCAGGUCCGUGGUGAACCGGCGUGUGCGCUUAGGUGCAAGGUCUGUGGCGACCGGGCGUGUGCAGGUGUGUGCGUGAGUGCAUGUUCGUUAGAGAUAGUCACGGGAUAGAUGUAGACGCUGGCGAUCCAUGCGGGUUCCAGCCGCGCCCGGCGCGUAGGAGCGCGUCAUGGGCGCAUGCGGAUCGUGGGGCGUGUCCGUGCGCAUCGUGGGUGCGUGAGCAGCGCGUAUAAAUUAAACUCUCCCCGCUGUGUACUCUUUGUAAUGUGCUAGUGUGUUGAGUUGGAGCCAGCCAUGUAGACAUUGUAAAGGAGAAGAAAGAUUAGGGCGUGUGUGCGCCCACGUUGCGUUCAUGCGUCGGCCCGUGAAAAUUUCUUGUAUCUUGUGUCUUCUUCU
This 1608-nucleotide long non-coding RNA is filed under the name Triticum aestivum (bread wheat). Its description in RNAcentral is "long non-coding RNA (TAES_LNC005995)". Lineage: Eukaryota; Viridiplantae; Streptophyta; Magnoliopsida; Poales; Poaceae. The record is from RNAcentral.